CCUACGGGGGGCUGCAGUGGGGAAUCUUGCGCAAUGGGAGAAAUCCUGACGCAGCAACGCCGCGUGGGUGAUGAAGGUCUUCGGAUCGUAAAGCCCUGUCGGAGGGGAAGAUGCUUGGGCGUGCUAAUAGUACGUUCAGGUGACGGUACCCUCAAAGGAAGCACCGGCUAACUCUGUGCCAGCAGCCGCGGUAAUACAGAGGGUGCAAGCGUUGUUCGGAAUUAUUGGGCGUAAAGGGAGUGUAGGCGGUUAGUUAAGUCUUCUGUGAAAGCUGC
RNAcentral lists this ribosomal RNA (275 nucleotides) under uncultured bacterium. RNAcentral's name for it is "partial 16S ribosomal RNA". It matches the Rfam family "Bacterial small subunit ribosomal RNA", at positions 338 to 604 of the family's 1533-position model. The record is from RNAcentral.